UGUCAUGCUUGAAGAUAUUGAUUUGAUAUUUGUUAUAUAGUUUACACCAUGACAAGUUAUAGAUCAAGUUAGCAUUUUGUUCCAGUACAACAAAUUUUUAACCGGUAGGGGACUAUGUAUUGCCAGGCAAUACACACAGAAUGCUUGUUGAUUUUCAAUUUUGACUUGUUUAACUUUUUGUAAAAAGAAAACCUAUUACCUUACUAAGACAUGAUAUUUUUAACUGACAUGUCUAUGGUGGUACUUCUUAAUGUUGCAUAUUUUGCAGAGAAGCAGCAACCAAUGAUCCUCAGCACUCUAGACUUUGACUUGGAUGAGGUGUCUUACCUGGUAUAGAUAUGUAAUCUGAGCUCUAGGUUGUGACUUGGAUAAGGUGUCUACCUGGUAUUAAUAUGUAAUCUGAGCUCUAGGUUUUGACUUGGAUAAGGUGUCUUACCUGGUAUAGAUAUGUAAUCUGAGCUCUAGGCUUUGACUUGGAUAAGGUGUCUACCUGGUAUAGAUAUGUAAUCUGAGCUCUAGGUUUUGACUUGGAUAAGGUGUGUACCUGGUAUUAAUAUGUAAUCUGAGCUCUAGGCUUUGACUUGGAUAAGGUGUCUACCUGGUAUAGAUAUGUAAUCUGAGCUCUAGGUUUUGACUUGGAUAAGGUGUCUACCUGGUAUAGAUAUGUAAUCUGAGCUCUAGGUUUUGACUUGGAUAAGGUGUCUUACGUCCUGGUAUAGAUAUGUAAUCUGAGCUCUAGGCUUUGACUGGGAUAAGGUGUCUACCUGGUAUUGAUAUGUAAUCUGAGCUCUAGGCUUUGACUUGGAUAAGGUGUCUACCUGGUAUUAAUAUGUAAUCUGAGCUCUAGACUUUGACUUGGAUAAGGUGUCUACCUGGUAUUGAUAUGUAAUACAUUGUAGAAACAAAAAUGACAUCAUAAACACAGGACAUAUUUUCAAAACUAUGAAUAUUCAUGGAAUGGUGCAACUUUGUAGGUUGACUGGAUCAACUUUUUCAAUAUGCAUAAUCUUAAGGUCCAUAUAUUCUUCUUGUCUUGUUGU
This is a long non-coding RNA of Mytilus californianus (California mussel), 1040 nucleotides long. RefSeq lists it as uncharacterized. The record is from RefSeq and is a predicted model, not a curated record. The transcript has 5 exons. NCBI's taxonomy places the organism in Eukaryota, Metazoa, Mollusca, Bivalvia, Mytilida, Mytilidae.